Molecule: long non-coding RNA, 271 nt
Organism: Vidua macroura (Pin-tailed whydah)
Lineage: Eukaryota; Metazoa; Chordata; Aves; Passeriformes; Viduidae
Exons: 4
Source: RefSeq, a predicted model, not a curated record
CCUUUCCUGAAGUUUCUAAAUCUCUCCGGGAAUGGCCUCACACGGAUCCGCAGCGGCGCUUUCCAGGCCUGGCAUGGGAUGCAGUUCCUCCAGGAGCUGAUCCUCAGCCACAACCCGCUGGCUGUCAUUGCUGACGCUGCCUUCUUCAAGCUGCCCUCAGUGAGCUCUCUCCAAGUGCCCAAGGAGGCGGCCUGCUGCCUGUGCCAGGAGCGUCCCCAGCCCGAGAGCCCCUGCAGGACCAUCCAGUUCCUGUGCCAGAAGCUGUGCAGCA